Molecule: small RNA, 56 nt
Filed under: Arabidopsis thaliana (thale cress)
Lineage: Eukaryota; Viridiplantae; Streptophyta; Magnoliopsida; Brassicales; Brassicaceae
Description: ATSL286650
Source: RNAcentral
ACAGUCUCGUAUGCUAAUAUGUGGAAGGCUAAAAAGGAAGCGAUCUCUGCAAUCUU